This 443-nucleotide ribosomal RNA is filed under the name uncultured bacterium. RNAcentral's name for it is "partial 16S ribosomal RNA". It matches the Rfam family "Bacterial small subunit ribosomal RNA", at positions 338 to 795 of the family's 1533-position model. The record is from RNAcentral.
CCUACGGGUGGCAGCAGUGGGGAAUAUUGGGCAAUGGGCGCAAGCCUGACCCAGCAACGCCGCGUGAAGGAAGAAGGCUUUCGGGUUGUAAACUUCUUUUCUCAGGGACGAAGCAAGUGACGGUACCUGAGGAAUAAGCCACGGCUAACUACGUGCCAGCAGCAGUGGUAAUACGUAGGUGGCAAGCGUUAUCCGGAUUGACUGGGUGUAAAGGGCGUGUAGGCGGGACUGCAAGUCAGAUGUGAAAACCACGGGCUCAACCUGUGGCCUGCAUGUGAAACUGUAGUUCUUGAGUACUGGGGAGGCAGGCGGAAGUCGGAGUGUAGGGGUGAAAUGCGUAGAUAUUAGGAGGAACACCAGUGGCGAAGGCGGUCUGCUGGACAGCAACGGACGCUGAGGCGCGAAAGCGUGGGGAGCGAACAGGAUUAGAUACCCGGGUAGUC